This 253-nucleotide ribosomal RNA is filed under the name uncultured bacterium. Its description in RNAcentral is "partial 16S ribosomal RNA". It matches the Rfam family "Bacterial small subunit ribosomal RNA", at positions 524 to 776 of the family's 1533-position model. The record is from RNAcentral.
UACGUGGGGUGCAAGCGUUGUUCGGAAUUACUGGGCGUAAAGCGCGUGUAGGCGGCUAAUUAUGUCAGGUGUGAAAGCCCUCGGCCUAACUGAGGAAGUGCGCCUGAAACUGAUUGGCUUGAGUACGAGAGAGGAGGACGGAAUUCCCAGUGUAGAGGUGAAAUUCGUAGAUAUUGGGAGGAACACCGGCGGCGAAAGCGGUUCUCUGGAUCGAUACUGACGCUAAGACGCGAAAGCGUGGGUAGCAAACAGG